UCGCCUGUUUAUCAAAAACAUAGCCUACUAUUUAACUUAGGUACAACCCUGCCCUUUGACUUUUAACAGCCGCGGUAUCCUAACCGUGCUAAGGUAGCAUAAUCACUUGCCUAUUAAUUAUAGGCUAGAAUGAACGGGAUCACUCACUUAAACUUAUUUUUAUUUAAAUUUAAAUUAAACUUUAAGUCAAAAUACUAAAUUAAAAAGAAAGACAAAAAGACCCUGAAAACUAUUAGAAAUAAUUAGUUGGGGCAACUAUAGACCACUCUAGCGUCUAUUUUUUUUAAACUCUUAAAAUCUAAAGUAUCCAGUUACUUCAGGGAUAACAGACUAAUUUUAUUAUUUAGACCCAAUAAAUAAUAAAGAUUGGCACCUCGAUGUUGGCUUAUAUUUCCUUCAUAUAGCAACAUAUAUAGAAGGCAGCUUGUUCAUCUGUUAAAUAUUUACAUGAGCUGAGUUCAGACCGGCGUAAGCA
RNAcentral lists this ribosomal RNA (475 nucleotides) under Stygocapitella sp. 169_07. RNAcentral describes it as "partial large subunit ribosomal RNA". It matches the Rfam family "Bacterial large subunit ribosomal RNA", at positions 1796 to 2627 of the family's 2925-position model. The record is from RNAcentral. Lineage: Eukaryota; Metazoa; Annelida; Polychaeta; Parergodrilidae.